CGCGAAUUGCUCAUUACAACAGCCAUUGUUUACUGGAUCUUAAUAUCCUACUUGGAUAACUGUGGUAAUUCUAGAGCUAAUACACGCAAACAGCUCUGACCGCAAGGGAUGAGCGCAUUUAUUAGAACAAAACCAAUCGGGCUUGCCUGUCUUUGGUGGAUCUGAAUAACUCAGUUGAUCGCAUGGUCUCGCACCGGCGACGUAUCUUCCAAGUGUCUGCCUUAUCAACUUUUGAUGGUAGUUUAUGCGACUACCAUGGUUGUAACGGGUAACGGAGAAUAAGGGUUCGACUCCGGAGAGGGAGCCUGAAAAAUGGCUACCACAUCCAAGGAAGGCAGCAGGC
This 343-nucleotide ribosomal RNA is filed under the name Ascolaimus elongatus. RNAcentral describes it as "SSU rRNA". It matches the Rfam family "Eukaryotic small subunit ribosomal RNA", at positions 88 to 433 of the family's 1831-position model. The record is from RNAcentral. Lineage: Eukaryota; Metazoa; Nematoda; Chromadorea; Araeolaimida; Axonolaimidae. RNAcentral also lists the same sequence under 1 other name.